CAGCAGCCGCGGUAAUACAGAGGGUGCGAGCGUUAAUCGGAUUUACUGGGCGUAAAGCGUGCGUAGGCGGCUUCUUAAGUCGGAUGUGAAAUCCCUGAGCUUAACUUAGGAAUUGCAUUCGAUACUGGUUAGCUAGAGUGUGGGAGAGGAUGGUAGAAUUCCAGGUGUAGCGGUGAAAUGCGUAGAGAUCUGGAGGAAUACCGAUGGCGAAGGCAGCCAUCUGGCCUAACACUGACGCUGAGGUACGAAAGCAUGGGGAGCAAACAGGAUUAGAUACCCCGGUAGUCCCUGUCUCUUAUAC
Molecule: ribosomal RNA, 301 nt
Filed under: uncultured bacterium
Lineage: Bacteria
Description: partial 16S ribosomal RNA
Rfam family: Bacterial small subunit ribosomal RNA
Source: RNAcentral